RNAcentral lists this ribosomal RNA (465 nucleotides) under uncultured bacterium. RNAcentral describes it as "partial 16S ribosomal RNA". It matches the Rfam family "Bacterial small subunit ribosomal RNA", at positions 28 to 507 of the family's 1533-position model. The record is from RNAcentral.
GACGAACGCUGGCGGCGUGCUUAACACAUGCAAGUCGAACGGAAAGGCCCCUUCGGGGGUACUCGAGUGGCGAACGGGUGAGUAACACGUGAGUAACCUGCCCUUGACUUCGGGAUAACUUCAGGAAACUGGGGCUAAUACCGGAUAGGAAUCCUUGCUGCAUGGUGGGGGUUGGAAAGCUUCGGCGGUUUUGGAUGGACUCGCGGCUUAUCAGCUUGUUGGUGGGGUAGUGGCUUACCAAGGCUUUGACGGGUAGCCGGCCUGAGAGGGCGACCGGCCACAGUGGGACUGAGAUACGGCCCAGACUCCUACGGGAGGCAGCAGUGGGGAAUAUUGCACAAUGGGCGGAAGCCUGAUGCAGCAACGCCGCGGGCGGGAUGACGGCCUUCGGGUUGUAAACCGCUUUCAGCAGGGGCGAAGCUUGUGGUGACGGUACCUGCAGAAGAAGCACCGGCUAACUACGUG